UACUUAACCAAGUAUUGCUACUGGUAUUACCUUUCUUUCCCAUUGGGUUUUAGCAGAGUAGCAUAAUGACUGUGAGAUUGGACUAUGGAAUCAGAGCCUAUGUGAUAUCCAAAUCUAGUGCUUUCUAGUUGUGUAACUUUAGGCAAGUUAAUAAACUUCACUAAGCCUCACUUCAUAUUUAUGAUGCAGAUAAUAAUCAUACUUAACCUCCAUUUUUCUGACAGGUAAAUGAGAAAAACGGAUACAUCGUGUAUUGCACUGGACUCAGCAAACAAAAAAGCACUCAGUAGAUGUUGUUUGCUGUUGUUAUUAAAGCACAGUUCUUGGUAAGUACAUCCCAUUUUUUGAAGCUUUUGCAGAUGGGUAAGUCUUGCUGCUGGAGCUUUACAUGUUGAUUUUCAUACUUGGAGAAUCUGAACUGGACAGUGUACUUGUUGCAGUCAGAUGUAUGCCUUUAUGAUUUUCAAGCCAGGAUCUGGAAAGAGGACAGAGCUUCGCAUGUGCUUUCCAUCUCUGUUUCAAAUCUUUGGCAGGAAAAAAAUGCAUCCAUUAUUUUAAAUUGCAUAAAAUGUUAUGUUUCAUCUAAA
This is a non-coding RNA of Ictidomys tridecemlineatus (thirteen-lined ground squirrel), 587 nucleotides long. The record is from RefSeq and is a predicted model, not a curated record. Lineage: Eukaryota; Metazoa; Chordata; Mammalia; Rodentia; Sciuridae.